UUCCUAUACUACCGUCAAUUACUACACGUAGUAACCAUUCUUGGUAUAGAAAAGCAGUUUACAACCCAUAGGGCCGUCAUCCUGCACGCGGGAUGGCUGGUUCAGACUCUCGUCC
Molecule: ribosomal RNA, 115 nt
Filed under: uncultured bacterium
Lineage: Bacteria
Description: partial 16S ribosomal RNA
Source: RNAcentral